UAUAUUUGACCAAGAUUUUAAGUACCUAUCGGCAUGGACCGUAUCCACCGUGUCGUACCGUAUCAAUAAAAUACCGACAUCGAUAUAAACUCCGUACAAAUAGCACAGCUCAAAACUCUCUAUUCUUCAAAUUAAUAAUCUCAAUAAAAUUCAAAAAAUAUGAUAAAAAGAUAUAAUAAAUAGUUAGAAUAUUUUGGUGUUAAAUAAAAUAAAUAUUUCAUACUAUUAUGUGUCAGUAUACAAGAAUUUUUUGACCGGAAAACAUCGGCAUGGCUCUGCACGCACCGUGUCGUACCGUACUGGUAAAUUUUCGGUACGAUCCCGUACCACGGCACUUAAUUAAAUCCUUAUAUU
This 354-nucleotide long non-coding RNA is filed under the name Ananas comosus (pineapple). RNAcentral describes it as "long non-coding RNA (ACOM_LNC014608)". The record is from RNAcentral. Lineage: Eukaryota; Viridiplantae; Streptophyta; Magnoliopsida; Poales; Bromeliaceae.